RNAcentral lists this ribosomal RNA (253 nucleotides) under uncultured bacterium. RNAcentral describes it as "partial 16S ribosomal RNA". It matches the Rfam family "Bacterial small subunit ribosomal RNA", at positions 524 to 776 of the family's 1533-position model. The record is from RNAcentral.
UACGUAGGGUGCGAGCGUUAAUCGGAAUUACUGGGCGUAAAGCGUGCGCAGGCGGUUUUGUAAGCCAGAUGUGAAAUCCCCGGGCUCAACCUGGGAAUGGCGAUGGAUACUGGCGAGCUAGAGUGAGGUAGAGGAGAGUGGAAUUCCCGGUGUAGCAGUGAAAUGCGUAGAGAUCGGGAGGAACAUCAGUUGCGAAGGCGGCUCUCUGGACCAUCACUGACACUGAGGCACGAAAGCGUGGGGAGCAAACAGG